RNAcentral lists this small RNA (127 nucleotides) under Marmota monax (woodchuck). The record is from RNAcentral. Lineage: Eukaryota; Metazoa; Chordata; Mammalia; Rodentia; Sciuridae.
GCUGGGCACGGUGGCACAUGCCUGUAAUCCCAGUGACUUGGGAGGCGGAGGCAGGAGGAUUGGGUGUUCAAAGCCAGUGACUCAGCAAAAGCGAGUCACCAAGCAUCUCAGUGAGACCCUGUCUCUA